Molecule: ribosomal RNA, 621 nt
Filed under: Entoloma substrictum
Lineage: Eukaryota; Fungi; Basidiomycota; Agaricomycetes; Agaricales; Entolomataceae
Description: Leptonia substricta partial large subunit ribosomal RNA
Rfam family: Eukaryotic large subunit ribosomal RNA
Source: RNAcentral
GAGGAAAAGAAACUAACAAGGAUUCCCCUAGUAACUGCGAGUGAAGCGGGAAAAGCUCAAAUUUAAAAUCUGGUAGUCUUUGGCUGCCCGAGUUGUAAUCUAGAGAAGCGUUAUCCGCGCUGGACCGUGUAUAAGUCUCCUGGAAUGGAGCGUCAUAGAGGGUGAGAAUCCCGUCUUUGACACGGACUCCCAGGGCUUUGUGAUGCGCUCUCAAAGAGUCGAGUUGUUUGGGAAUGCAGCUCUAAAUGGGUGGUAAAUUCCAUCUAAAGCUAAAUAUUGGCGAGAGACCGAUAGCGAACAAGUACCGUGAGGGAAAGAUGAAAAGAACUUUGGAAAGAGAGUUAAACAGUACGUGAAAUUGUUGAAAGGGAAACGCUUGAAGUCAGUCGCGUUGGCCAGGGAUCAACCUUGCUUUUGCUUGGUGUACUUCCUGGUCAAUGGGGUCAGCAUCAAUUUUGACCAGUGGAAAAAGGUUGGGGGAAUGUGGCAUCUUCGGAUGUGUUAUAGCCUCUGAUUGUAUACACUGGUUGGGAUUGAGGAACUCAGCACGCCGCAAGGCCGGGUUUUACCACGUUCGUGCUUAGGAUGCUGGCAUAAUGGCUUUAAUCGACCCGUCUUGAA